This 474-nucleotide ribosomal RNA is filed under the name uncultured bacterium. Its description in RNAcentral is "partial 16S ribosomal RNA". It matches the Rfam family "Bacterial small subunit ribosomal RNA", at positions 28 to 507 of the family's 1533-position model. The record is from RNAcentral.
GACGAACGCUGGCGGCGUGCUUAACACAUGCCAGUCGAACGGUAAGGCCCUUCGGGGUCCCCGAGUGGCGAACGGGUGAGUAACACGUGGGUAAUCUGCCCUGCACAUCGGGAUAAGCCUGGGAAACUGGGUCUAAUACCGAAUAGGACCACAGGACACAUGUCCUGUGGUGGAAAGCUUUUGCGGUGUGGGAUGGGCCCGCGGCCUAUCAGCUUGUUGGUGGGGUGAUGGCCUACCAAGGCGACGACGGGUAGCCGGCCUGAGAGGGUGUCCGGCCACACUGGGACGGAGAUACGGCCCAGACUCCGACGGGAGGCAGCAGUGGGGAAUAUUGCACAAUGGGCGAAAGCCUGAUGCAGCGACGCAGCGUGGGGGAUGACGGCCUUCGGGUUGUAAACCUCUUUCACCAUCGACGAAGGUCCGGGUUUUCUCGGGCUGACGGUAGGUGGAGAAGAAGCACCGGCCAACUACGUG